RNAcentral lists this long non-coding RNA (405 nucleotides) under Lonchura striata (white-rumped munia). RNAcentral describes it as "domestica (Bengalese finch) lncRNA (ENSLSDG00000006310.1)". Lineage: Eukaryota; Metazoa; Chordata; Aves; Passeriformes; Estrildidae. The record is from RNAcentral.
GAAACAUUUUGAUAGGAAAAACAAUUUGUUAGGUCUGAAUGACUUCUUGGAAUAAAUAAAUUUUCCUCCUUUACCAGGAAUGACCAUCCAACUCACAGAAGCCAGUAUAAAGCCAGCUACAGCUGCCCUAAGCUAUUCAAGUAGAAAUAAAAUGGCCUUGAACACUCCACAUGCUGGUGAAAACCUUCCUGCUCAUUCCAGAAAAUGCUGAUACUGGCCAUGGCUGGGGAAAAGACACCUAACUGGGCACAUGGUACCUCCUCUGAGGCCAUUCUUACCCUGCACAUAAGGAAAGAGCAUUCCCCAUGGCUACACACACAGACAUCAGAUUUAAAAAUAGCCAAGUUCCACCUCGACUGUGGGUGAGUGAAAGACAGAAGACAGAUGCAUUGGCUGCCAGCUAGA